GAGGGUCGAUUGGCACAUGUUUGGCACAUGAAACGCUACAUACCCUAGAAAACAAGGAAUGAACGCGCGACUUUUAAUCAGUAGGUCAUGGGUUCGAAUCCCAUCGCUCUCACCA
This 115-nucleotide transfer RNA is filed under the name Martinezella leucaenae. RNAcentral describes it as "Rhizobium leucaenae tRNA-Lys". Lineage: Bacteria; Pseudomonadati; Pseudomonadota; Alphaproteobacteria; Hyphomicrobiales; Rhizobiaceae. The record is from RNAcentral.